This is an RNA transcript of Ornithorhynchus anatinus (platypus), 1251 nucleotides long. It is a transcript of the gene named phosphatidylinositol glycan anchor biosynthesis class F, with no coding region annotated. The transcript is spliced from 7 exons. The record is from RefSeq and is a predicted model, not a curated record. Lineage: Eukaryota; Metazoa; Chordata; Mammalia; Monotremata; Ornithorhynchidae.
GCGCCUGCGCAGUGGGCGGCACCCGCGGGGGUCGGGCGCCUUCCUCCUCUCCUCCCUCUCCCCCCCGUCUCCGGGGUCUGAGUGACAGUCCAUGGCCCCCGAAGAGAGAACCGUGAAAGAAAGGGACAUCAGGACACUGUUUUACACGCACCUCUUGGGCGUCUUCACCAUCGUCGCCACCACCUUCGUCCCGUCUUUCUUCCUGGAGAAGUUUUCCGUUCUGGAGACCCACCUGACGUGGCUGGGCAUCUGUUCGGCCAGCGUGGCCGCCCUCAACGUCGGGUUCUAUUUUCUCAUCAGACCAAACCCGCCGGCCAAGAGGAACUCGGUGUCGCACAAGGUAUCCAGAUUUCUGAAAUGCUGCGUCUACUUUCUCGUUUCCUGCACGCUCUUUCACCUCAUCACUGUGCUCUACGGGGCUCCCCUAAUUGAAUCGGUGCUGGAAACAUUCUCUUUUGCCGUCAUCUUGUCUACCUACACCACCCUACCUUGCCUGUGCGUUUUAGGGCCCAACCUUCACGCCUGGCAACGAGUGUUCAGUAAAAAUGGCGCCUCCUCCAUUUGGGAUAAAAGUCUGCAGAUCACCACCCUGACCAGCGUGGCGGGAGCCUGGCUCGGGGCCUUCCCGCUGCCCCUCGACUGGGACCGGCCUUGGCAGGUCUGGCCCAUCUCCUGCACCCUGGGAGCCACCUCGGGCUACGCGGCCGGCCUCCUGGUCUCCCCGCUGUGGAUCUACCGGAACCGGCAGCGACUCACGCGCAAGGGCAGGUAGCCGGGGGGGGAGGGGGCCGACCCCGGAGAGACCGCGCGGCCGCGGCUUCCCCGGAGACCCCCGGCGAGCGUACCUUCCGGCCCCAGCAAAGCACUCCUCGCACCCGGCGGUCUCGGGGGCGACUUCCUGUUAAAAUGGCUAUGAUAGCCUCGUCGAAAACAGUCUUCAAGCCCUUCUGCGUUAAAGCGGAACAUUCCACGUAGCAGCACGCGCCUAUCUGCCAACAGAGGGGGACAGGUGUGAGCCCGCCGCCGCCGUGCCCGCGCCCGUCCGCGCCCCUCCACGCGUCCACCCGCCGAUCCCAAGCCCAUCUACACACCUCCGGACACACCCCAAAAAUCAAAUAUCCGCAGAGGCGCCAUCAGGUGCCCCCACGCACACCCUCCCCCCCCCCCGCCCCCAAACACACAACAGACAAGUCGCACGCGUACGUUCCCCGAAGUAAAAACCGAGGCCUGCCCUUAUAUUGCCGCACCGAA